Molecule: ribosomal RNA, 253 nt
Filed under: uncultured bacterium
Lineage: Bacteria
Description: partial 16S ribosomal RNA
Rfam family: Bacterial small subunit ribosomal RNA
Source: RNAcentral
UACGUAGGGGGCAAGCGUUGUCCGGAAUCAUUGGGCGUAAAGAGCGUGUAGGCGGUCCGUUAAGUCGGCUGUGAAAGUCCAAGGCUCAACCUUGGGAUGCCGGUCGAUACUGCCGGACUAGAGUUCGGAAGAGGCGAGUGGAAUUCCCGGUGUAGCGGUGAAAUGCGCAGAUAUCGGGAGGAACACCAAUUGCGAAGGCAGCUCGCUGGGACGUUACUGACGCUGAGACGCGAAAGCGUGGGGAGCAAACAGG